RNAcentral lists this ribosomal RNA (365 nucleotides) under uncultured bacterium. RNAcentral describes it as "partial 16S ribosomal RNA". It matches the Rfam family "Bacterial small subunit ribosomal RNA", at positions 94 to 526 of the family's 1533-position model. The record is from RNAcentral.
AGUGGAGGACGGGUUAGUAAUGUCUGGGAAACUGCCUGAUGGAGGGGGAUAACUACUGGAAAAGGUAGCUAAUACCGCAUACCAUCAGAUGUGCCCAGAUGGGAUUAGCUAGUUGGUGGGGUAACGGCUCACCCAGGCGACGAUCCCUAGCUGGUUUGAGAGGAUGACCCGGCACACUGGAACUUGGACACGGUCCAGACUCCUACGGGAGGCAGCCGUUGGGUAUAGUGCACAAUGGGCGCAAGCCUGAUGCAGCCAUGCCUCGUGUAUGAAGAAGGCCUUCGGGUUGUAAAGUACUUUCAGCGGGGAUGCGUUACCCGCAGAAGAAGCACCGGCUAACUCCGUGCCAGCCUCCGCUGUAAUAC